Molecule: non-coding RNA, 1532 nt
Organism: Pelobates cultripes (western spadefoot toad)
Lineage: Eukaryota; Metazoa; Chordata; Amphibia; Anura; Pelobatidae
Source: the annotation of a GenBank genome assembly
CUACACAGAUUUGCUUUAAUUUUUAAUCAUCUACCACCUACAAACAAGCAAGUCAAAUAAAUAAAAAUAUCACAUUGUGUGCUUGCCCUGCCUUAUGUAAAUAACAACAAAAAAACACAACAUAAAUAAAGAAUAAACUUAAAGUGAGAGGUACAAGUUGUUUUUAAAAAUGCAUGAAGUUAAAUAUAUCCCAAAUAUUGUGAAUAUAUGGCAAGACAGUAUUAUUUCCUAAAAUUUCACAACUUCACAUUUUUUUUAGCAGGAAUGAACACAAGCCCUCUAAAGAGCAAAAUACUUCUUAUAUUAAAGGGACACUACAGUAGUGGCUCUGUUGUCUAUAGCAUGUCCCUGCAGGCAUUGUAAUGUAAACAUUGCCUGUUUACAUUGCUCCCAAAGGACACCUUCAGUAGCAGUUACUCAGACAGCCAAUAGAGGUGCUUCCUGGGGCAGUGCUGCACAGUGUGAAUCACUGACAUUCAGUGUCUCCAUGCUCUGGAUGGAGGCACUAAACUUUCCUCAUAGAGAUUCAAUGCAUCUCUAUAAGUAACUGCUGAUUGGCGCAGCGCAGCGUUUUGCUGUGCAUGCGUAAUGGUUGAGAUGGAUGAAAUUGUCAGUUUUGAUGAUCUCAGCCAAGGAGGCGAAGCAGGGUCAAAGCCAGGUCCGAGGAGACCGGCGCUGCCCUGGAUAAAAGGUGAGUUUGUUGGCUUUUUAAAGUGUGCCAAGGAGGGCUAAUACACCAUACACCAAAAUCUAAUAUUGUAAUAACUUAACAAACAGGAUUAUUAAAUAAAGUGAGAUAUGUUGGAAAUUCAAUAUCAAUUAUAGGUGAAUUUAAAACCAAUGAAUCCGAAUUAGAAGAAUAGCAUUUCCACUUUGGAUAUUUUCAUUAAGUUUUGAAAAUAAAUUAGUCUCUCUGGUCUUUCUUGUUUCUGUGCAGGGAGUCAAUCAUGGAAAACCAUAGAGACAAAUUGUCGGUUUGCAAACACCAUCUGACCCAAGGUGCAUGUAUUUGGCUGAACGAUCCGGCCAUUUACUAAAGGAAGGAAUUCAUUUUCUCAAUUUUAGUUUUUUACAUAUACUUCUUUUUUUUUAAAAAAACAAUCUAUUUUGUUUUGGAAAUUUGAUGGACGUAUUUAUGAAAAUUAACUUUGAAUUUGCUUUGAAUUCCUAACAAUUCUCGUGUUACUGUAAAACCUGAUAGAAUAAGGUCAGUCUAUUAGUCACAUUUCAGCGAUGUUUAAGGAAUAAACUGCAAAGAUAAGAAGUCUAUGCAAAUGAUAAUUACUGGGUAGCAUUGAUUACAGUAAUGUGAGAACACAAUGAGCAGGAUUCUGCUUGUAGACACACAGGUGCAUAUUAUAAUGAAAACCUGUUUUUUACAAUAGAGUUAAAAAUCUGUGAUAAAGUUACAUCUGUCAAUGGCAUAUUGCCAAUUCAAGUCCCCGAGUGACAAAUCACAACUAGACAAAUUAUGUAGCCCUCAUAUUACCUAAUAAUUAACUCUACAGCCUGUGUAACAAAUAGGUAAUGGU